AUUGCCCCAGUAACGGCGAGUGAAGCGGCAAGAGCUCAAAUUUGAAAUCUGGCCCCUCCGGGGUCCGAGUUGUAAUUUGCAGAGGAUGCUUCGGGUGCGGCCCCUGUCUAAGUGCCCUGGAACGGGCCGUCAGAGAGGGUGAGAAUCCCGUCUUGGGCAGGGUGCCCGUGCCCGUGUGAAGCUCCUUCGACGAGUCGAGUUGUUUGGGAAUGCAGCUCUAAAUGGGUGGUAAAUUUCAUCUAAAGCUAAAUACCGGCCGGAGACCGAUAGCGCACAAGUAGAGUGAUCGAAAGAUGAAAAGCACUUUGAAAAGAGAGUUAAACAGCACGUGAAAUUGUUGAAAGGGAAGCGCUUGCGACCAGACUCGGCCCCGGGGUUCAGCCAGCACUCGUGCUGGUGUACUUCCCCGGGGGCGGGCCAGCGUCGGUUUGGGCGGCCGGUCAAAGGCCCCAGGAAUGUGUCGCCCUCCGGGGCGUCUUAUAGCCUGGGGUGCAAUGCGGCCAGCCCGGACCGAGGAACGCGCUUCGGCACGGACGCUGGCG
Molecule: ribosomal RNA, 542 nt
Filed under: Aspergillus ustus
Lineage: Eukaryota; Fungi; Ascomycota; Eurotiomycetes; Eurotiales; Aspergillaceae
Also listed under: 1 other name
Description: eukaryotic LSU rRNA
Rfam family: Eukaryotic large subunit ribosomal RNA
Source: RNAcentral